RNAcentral lists this transfer RNA (70 nucleotides) under Tridacna derasa. RNAcentral describes it as "tRNA-Trp". The record is from RNAcentral. Lineage: Eukaryota; Metazoa; Mollusca; Bivalvia; Cardiida; Cardiidae.
AACGAGUUAAUCUAAGUUUAAGAUGGCGAACUUCAAAUUCGAAUAUAAGCAAGAAUGUGCUUACUCGUUG